AAUGGAAGCAUUUCUUACCACUCUUAUCUCUAAACUUAAACCUACCCUUCGAUUUUCCUCUGCCCUUCUUACUUUGAAAAUGGUUCUCCCUCGUCUCAUUCCUCCAUCUAGCAAACAAACUCUCUUCUCUUGAGUUACCUCUCGACUAUUUCUUAAGCUCUAGCUCCCUAACCCUCAAAGCAUCAGUCACAAUAUCUUAGCUCAAAGUAUCCCUAGCAUACGUGAUAGAAUUCCUAACAUCUCUAUAAG
RNAcentral lists this long non-coding RNA (249 nucleotides) under Olea europaea (common olive). RNAcentral's name for it is "long non-coding RNA (OEUR_LNC004693)". The record is from RNAcentral. Lineage: Eukaryota; Viridiplantae; Streptophyta; Magnoliopsida; Lamiales; Oleaceae.